UGGGGAAUAUUGGACAAUGGGGGCAACCCUGAUCCAGCCAUGCCGCGUGAGUGAUGAAGGCCUUCGGGUUGUAAAGCUCUUUUGGCGGGGACGAUGAUGACGGUACCCGCAGAAUAAGCCCCGGCUAACUUCGUGCCAGCAGCCGCGGUAAGACGAAGGGGGCUAGCGUUGUUCGGAAUUACUGGGCGUAAAGCGCGUGUAGGCGGUUGUCCAAGUCGGGUGUGAAAGCCUUGAGCUCAACUCAAGAAAUGCACUCGAUACUGGGCGACUUGAGGACCGGAGAGGAUAGUGGAAUUCCCAGUGUAGUGGUGAAAUACGUAGAGAUUGGGAAGAACACCAGUGGCGAAGGCGGCUAUCUGGACGGUUACUGACGCUAAGACGCGAAAGCGUGGGGAGCAAACA
Molecule: ribosomal RNA, 402 nt
Filed under: uncultured Alphaproteobacteria bacterium
Lineage: Bacteria; Pseudomonadati; Pseudomonadota; Alphaproteobacteria
Description: partial 16S ribosomal RNA
Rfam family: Bacterial small subunit ribosomal RNA
Source: RNAcentral